UCAAUGUGUCUAAAAUGUAUAAAAGUUAAAUAAUUUAAUAAGUAAUGCAUGUAAUGUAUGCAACUUUUAAUUUUUUUUUUAGUUGUCUCAAAACUAACAAAAUAUGACUUAUGGUCUAAAAUUGCCGACCAAGUUUCUGUUGUUGGUUCUGAUAGAACAGUGAAACAGUGCAAAAAGAAAUUAUCCGAUCAAAAGUCGGACAGUAAGGCAAAGGCAGCUCGUAUUUCUUCUAGUUUAUAUAAGACAGGAAGAGGUGAAGGCAACAGCAAAGAACUGAGCUCAAUUGAUCAAGUAUUGAUCAACAAAAUGCCUAAAGUGUCAUAGAUGUUAUAUUAAAGUGUCAUACAUGGUAUAUUAUGACUUAUAUAAAAGUUUACCUUUUUACCUAUAUUUUUUUAUAAGUUAGUAAAAUAGGUUUCUGAAGAUUAGUUGAAUCUUAAACUGAUGUUUUUUUAAACUUUAAAUCCUCAACUUUCAAACCUAACUAUAAUAUUUAUAAAAAUAUUUGAGAAAGUUUUAUAAGAAUUACGGUUCGUUAUUUUAGGGAAUUCCAGGUGGGAUAGACACUCAUCAAAAGCUUUGCAUAGUAGAUCCCAAUGAGGAAGUUAAUUUUGACAUAAUAACGGGAAACUUUGUACUGCAACCCGUAGAAAAAAUGGAUACUCAGUUUAUUGAAACAACAAAUAUCAAAACUACUUAUGAAAUGUGUAAGAUAGAGCAAUUUAAUGAGUAUAUCAUAAAAUAUGUAUUCCUCAACCAAAUGAGAAAGAGGAUUGCAUCAGGAGAAAAACUCCAUUGCGAAAGUCUUUAUCUUCACUGGCUAAAUUGUCUUCAUCAUCACUCUCUCAGCUACAGACUACGCCUGAUCGCUCGACAACUGAAGUUCGCCUAGCAAGUUCUUUCCCAUCUACGGAUCCUGCGUUAAUAUUACAAAAUGAAUCUGCCAUUGUAAAUUCGUUACUAAAGAAUAAG
Non-coding RNA from Hydra vulgaris (swiftwater hydra), 972 nucleotides. The record is from RefSeq and is a predicted model, not a curated record. NCBI's taxonomy places the organism in Eukaryota, Metazoa, Cnidaria, Hydrozoa, Anthoathecata, Hydridae.